Molecule: unclassified non-coding RNA, 897 nt
Filed under: Limulus polyphemus (Atlantic horseshoe crab)
Lineage: Eukaryota; Metazoa; Arthropoda; Merostomata; Xiphosura; Limulidae
Description: lIM domain transcription factor LMO4.2-like, transcript variant X1
Source: RNAcentral
UGUGCACUUAGGUAAAGUACCGUCAUUUAUAUCUUAGAAGGGGUUACUCAUCAGUCGACAUCUUAGAAAUUGACUAAGACAAAACAGUGCUGCCAUCAACGGAAGUUUGACAAACGUAUCAAAACAUUAGCGUUCUAAUUUCUCUAGUUAUACCCACGAGCACCAUACAGUUCGUGCUUACAAGUUACGUAGCUGGUCGGAGCCGACACAGGGCUGCUUUCUGGGCUGGGGCAGUUCUUUGUCCGAGUAACAAGGUGUGUGUGUCUAUCUCCAGCGGACAUCCAAAUCAUGCAUUUGUUUGGAAUCUGCAAACGGUUCUACUGAAACGGAAAGUUUUCUUAAGCGACUGUUUUAUCAAGACUCUAAGUCAUGGAUGUUUAAUGACUUUGACAGUCAUUUAAACCAAACGUACUGGAAGAAAGAAACUUCUGAUAUUUUACAAUUUGACCAUGAACCCAAAUGGUCAGUCAGCGAUGUCUCCUGGAGACCAAAGCGCAGCCAUGAUGGGAAUGAUGAACCAUAAUCAUCAUAGUGGAAGCCCGAUGAUACACAUGCAGCCUCAACCUCACUCAACACAAAUUCCCACCACUACAAAUACUAGCGGAGGGCGGUGCUGUGCUGGAUGUGGCGGAAAAAUCAUGGACAGAUUCCUGUUACAUGCCAUGGACAGAUACUGGCACACGGGAUGCCUGAAAUGCUCGUGUUGCCAAGCAACUUUGGCUGACAUUGGUAGCUCAUGCUUCACAAAGGCAGGGAUGAUCCUUUGUAAAAACGAUUAUAUACGGAUGUUUGGUAACACCGGUGCCUGUAGUGCUUGCGCUCAGGUAAUUCCCGCCAACGAGUUUGUCACAUUAAUUGUUGUUGUUGUUAUAUUUGUCACUAACUAUAGUAUUUCUU